UCAAACCCUCUUAUUUCUA
Molecule: transfer RNA, 19 nt
Filed under: Bos primigenius (aurochs)
Lineage: Eukaryota; Metazoa; Chordata; Mammalia; Artiodactyla; Bovidae
Description: partial tRNA-Ile
Source: RNAcentral